AGGGUGUAAACGCUGCGGGCUUGGUGUUGGGGGUCCUUUGAGGGCGCCCAGUGCCGGAGAGAAGUUGUUAAGCCUGCUGCUUGGGGAGUACGUCCGCAAGGAUGAAACUUAAAGGAAUUGGCGGGGGAGCACCGCAACGGGAGGAGCGUGCGGUUCAAUUGGAUUCAACGCCGAAAAACUCACCAGCAGCGACUGUUACAUGAAAGUCAGGUUGAUGACCUUACUAGAUUUUCAGAGAGGUGGUGCAUGGCGUAGACGUCU
Molecule: ribosomal RNA, 261 nt
Filed under: uncultured archaeon
Lineage: Archaea
Description: partial 16S ribosomal RNA
Rfam family: Archaeal small subunit ribosomal RNA
Source: RNAcentral